ACAAGCCCUGUAAUCAGAAUAAUUGCAAUGAUACCAGAAACGAAUGCCACGUUUUGAUUUCCUUAUCAAUGUUGUUUAAUAAUUCAACCUUUUCCUCAGUCGAUGCAAUUGAAAUAAAUUUGUUUGCAUAAGAUCUGUCGUCACCUAUCAAUUACGUGCUUGGACGGAAUUUGGUUCAGUUGGCGUGUGCUCUAGCCCGGCAUUGAGAUCAAUGUUGUUAAUAGCCCGUGUGAAACAAACCGUGAAAUGUGUGAAAUGGAAAAGUCGGUCGAUGGGUUGCUUCUUAACGAGGAAAUCGCCGAUCCCCAUCCGCGCGGCGGGUGGGGUAAGUGGGAGUUGAACCUCACUAAAAACUCCUGCCGCUCACAGCGGGCGCCCUACCCCGGACCGGGCCAGAGCCCAGUCGCUGUUAUUGAGACGGCGUGACAGGAAUUCGAAUGGGAUUGGUCUAAAAUAGCGGUACAUACAAGAAUUCUGAAAAUGUACACUUUAGAGGCCUAAUUAUUAUUAUCGUCAAGUUUAUUGGAACAGUAAAAAUAGUUGAUAGAAUCGGUAACGUCACGCGAGUUCGCGUGUGGCAGGUUGGAUAAGAGGAAACAACUGAAAUGAAAAUUAACUUACCACGCCCGAUACAAGUGUUUUGUUAUAUAACAUUGAAUGUUUUUUAGGAUCUGUACGCAAUGUUUCAUUAAUAACAUUACAAUCGUAUUUUUUUAAUAAAUUUUAAAUAAUUCA
Molecule: long non-coding RNA, 735 nt
Organism: Bombyx mori (domestic silkworm)
Lineage: Eukaryota; Metazoa; Arthropoda; Insecta; Lepidoptera; Bombycidae
Exons: 3
Source: RefSeq, a predicted model, not a curated record